UCCGGAAACCGUACUAAAACCGACACAGGUAGGUAGGAUGAGUAUUCUAAGGCGCUCGAGAGAACGCUCGUGAAGGAACUCUGCAACAUGGCUCCGUAACUUCGGGAUAAGGAGCGCCCACUUCGGUGGGCCGCAGUGAAAAGGUUCUGGCGACUGUUUAUCAAAAACACAGGUCUGUGCGAAGGCGUAAGCCGCAGUAUACAGACUGACGCCUGCCCGGUGCUGGUAAGUUAAGGAAGAGGGUUAGCCGUAAGGUGAAGCUCGCAACCGAAGCUCCAGUAAACGGCGGCCGUAACUAUGACGGUCCUAAGGUAGCGAAGUUCCUUGUCGGGUAAGUUCCGACCUGCAUGAAUGGCGUAACGACCGGAACACUGUCUCCACGAGCGACUCGGUGAAACUGUACUUGUCGUGAAGAUGCGACAUACCCGCAGCUAGACGGAAAGACCCCGUGAACCUUAACUGCAGUUUGGUAUUGGGUUUAGACCCAACAUGCGUAGCGUAGGUGGGAGCUUAUGAACCGGGCGUUUCGGCGCCUGGGGAGGCAACGAUGAAACACCACCCUUGUUGUGUUUGAAUUCUAACCCGGAUGUCUGAAUCGACUCCGCGGACAGUGCUAAAUGGGCAGUUUGAUUGGGGCGAUCUCCUCCUAAAGGGUAACGGAGGAGUCCAAAGGUACCCUCAGCCCGGUUGGCAAUCGGGCAACGAGCGUAAAGGUAUAAGGGUGCUUGACUGCGAGCGUGAUAACGCGAGCAGGGACGAAAGUCGGGCUUAGUGAUCCGGUGGUCCGGGAUGGAACGGCCAUCGCUCAACAGAUAAAAGGUACUCCGGGGAUAACAGGCUUAUCUCCUCUGAGCGUUCAUAGCGGCGAGGAGGUUUGGCACCUCGAUGUCGGCUCAUCACAUCCUGGGGGUGGAGAAGCUCCCAAGGGUUCGGCUGUUCGCCGAUGAAAGUGGUACGUGAGCUGGGUUCAGACCGUCGUGAGACAGGUCGGUCCCUAUCUGCUGUGGGCGUAGGAAACUUGAUGGGCUUUCUCCCUAGUACGAGAGGACUGGGAGGGACGCACCGCUGGUGUGCCAGUUAUGACGCUAGUCGUACCGCUGGGUAGCUACGUGCGGAAUGGAUAAACGCUGAAAGCAUAUAAGCGUGAAACUUCCCCAAAGAUAAGGUUUCCUCACAAGAAGGCUCCUCGUAGACUACGAGGUCGAUAGGCCGGGUGUGUAAGUGGAGUAAUUCACUCAGCUAACCGGUACUAACAGCCGAACGUUUGGCCAC
This 1272-nucleotide ribosomal RNA is filed under the name metagenome. RNAcentral describes it as "bacterial LSU rRNA". It matches the Rfam family "Bacterial large subunit ribosomal RNA", at positions 1634 to 2925 of the family's 2925-position model. The record is from RNAcentral.